GUUAAUGUAGCUUAACCCACAAAGCAGAGCACUGAAAAUGCUAAGAUGGGCUUCCCCUACAGCCCCAUAAACA
Molecule: transfer RNA, 73 nt
Filed under: Sicista betulina (Northern birch mouse)
Lineage: Eukaryota; Metazoa; Chordata; Mammalia; Rodentia; Dipodidae
Description: tRNA-Phe
Rfam family: tRNA
About the family: Transfer RNA (tRNA) molecules are approximately 80 nucleotides in length. Their secondary structure includes four short double-helical elements and three loops (D, anti-codon, and T loops). Further hydrogen bonds mediate the characteristic L-shaped molecular structure. tRNAs have two regions of fundamental functional importance: the anti-codon, which is responsible for specific mRNA codon recognition, and the 3' end, to which the tRNAs corresponding amino acid is attached (by aminoacyl-tRNA synthetases). tRNAs cope with the degeneracy of the genetic code in two manners: having more than one tRNA (with a specific anti-codon) for a particular amino acid; and 'wobble' base-pairing, i.e. permitting non-standard base-pairing at the 3rd anti-codon position.
Source: RNAcentral